Molecule: long non-coding RNA, 224 nt
Filed under: Carica papaya (papaya)
Lineage: Eukaryota; Viridiplantae; Streptophyta; Magnoliopsida; Brassicales; Caricaceae
Description: long non-coding RNA (CPAP_LNC004903)
Source: RNAcentral
AUAGUUUCUGAAUGCAGGAUAAUAAGGGCUGCACAACAUAUACAACUUCAGGACUUAAAUAAGGUUACAUACUUGGCCCACCUGACUAUUCAAUCCGAAUUGAUCCAGAGAAUAAAGGAAGCCCACUAACCGAUUCCACUAUAACAACUCUCAAAAAGGAUGCAGAACAGAGAGUAAAUCCAGAAUUUCGAGUCUCUGCCGAUGGGUUGCUCAGAUUUUAGAAC